AGUUGUUUUUGAGAGCAAAUACAAGAUGGCAGCAAGCAAUGUUGACCCGUGUGCAUGUGUUAAGAGCUGAUGUUUAAACCUUUUAUGUUGUGCCUUGGACAAGAUUUGUCCUUUUACGACGGUCUUAAGAGGGCAAUGGUUUGAGGCCAUUCUACAAAUAAAUCAGCUAAAAGAAACCAAGUUUGAUUAUUUGGAGCGUCGUUAACUCGCUGUCUAGCUGGUGAAAAACUAGAUGCUUCAGAGUGAGGACAGCACAGUAAAAGGACACUAGCGCAGCGGGCACAACCACGAGGAGCUACAUCCAGCAAGAUAACCAUGAGCCUACGGUCAGGAAAGCUGUAUCACCCAGGUCUACCAGAAGAAGAUGUAAUGCCAGACCCUACAGAACCAGGACAAGUGCACAACACAGACGAUGUGGACAGCACGGAGAACAAGGGAACCUUUGCACCUCCAGACCUCUAUUCAAAGCAAUGGAAGCAGGUACAGAGUCUGGCGGACACCUUUUGGAAACAGUGGAGGAGUGAAUAUCUUUCAACUCUACAGCAAAGGAGAAAAUGGACUGAUGAAAAAAAUGAAUGUAAAAGUCGGUGACAUUGUAUUACUGAAAGACGUGCUUGCACACAGAAAUGACUGGUCCAUGGGAAGAGUUGUAAAAACAUUUGAGAGUAAGGACAAAAAGGUUCGAAAAGCAGAAGUAAAGACUGUAAAAGAUGGAAAUGUGAAAAUGUUUUUGAGACCUGUUACAGACAUGGUUUUACUGUUAUCAGAAAAGUAGAUGUUGCAUUUUUUUUGUUAUUUACAUGUUGUUCUAAAGUUUGAUUUGUAGUGGCACAAUUGUAUUGUACCAGGCAGGGAGUAUUCUGCCCUUUGUAAUAAGUUUAAGUAGAAACACGUUUACAUGUAGUGCUUUACCUCCCUCUAAUGGUUGCAGUGGGAAGUUGUUUUUGAGAGCAAAUACAAGAUGGCAGCAAGCAAUGUUGACCCGUGUGCAUGUGUUAAGAGCUGAUGUUUAAACCUUUUAUGUUGUGCCUUGGACAAGAUUUGUCCUUUUACGACGGUCUUAAGAGGGCAAUGGUUUGAGGCCAUUCUACAAAUAAAUCAGCUAAAAGAAACCAAGUUUGAUUAUUUGGAGCGUCGUUAACUCGCUGUCUAGCUGG
Long non-coding RNA from Syngnathus typhle (broad-nosed pipefish), 1157 nucleotides. RefSeq lists it as uncharacterized. Lineage: Eukaryota; Metazoa; Chordata; Actinopteri; Syngnathiformes; Syngnathidae. The transcript has 4 exons. The record is from RefSeq and is a predicted model, not a curated record.